GCUUAUGAUUAAAAAUAGCCAAGUGAGUUUCUUUUACAAUCGAUAUACUUAGUUUUUUGUGACAGCACAUAUUAAAUGUUUCUUUUUUAUCAAGUAAUAAUUAGAUGGUACCAUUUUCUUAGUUGUGAAGUUCCAAGCAUUGAGACAGUAUGUGCCCAGUAAUGCUCCCAUCACUUGUGACUCUAGGGAUAAGUGACUGAGUCCAGAUAUGACGUACAGUACACUGGUAAUAUUGUCUCAAAGUGUUAUUAGGCUAUAGAAACCUUUUCUGCUUUACUCAAUGGAGGCUUAUAGCUCAUGAUCUUUUGCUCACAAACUAAAAAUGAACUCCCACAAACAAAUCCAACAGCAAAAGGCUAGGAAUUUUUGAUACACUGGCACCAAGAAUCUAUCCUAAAAUAAUGACUGACUUUCAAUCCUGUCACACCUAUAUCAUGGAUUUUCAGUAGCCUGCAUGACAAUCAGCCUAGCAUAUGAUACGAUCAUGAUGAUCAACCUCAACAUGCACAAUACAAGGACCAUUUUAGAAUUGACUGGUUCAACCAGAUCAACAGGCAUGAUUUGUUUAUACUAAUAACUAAUGUUCAUAAUAUUAUGUUAAAUUAUUCAUAGUAAAGGUGUAGUGGUUUUUGUUUUAAAAAAUUGAA
This is a long non-coding RNA of Amphimedon queenslandica, 647 nucleotides long. RefSeq lists it as uncharacterized. NCBI's taxonomy places the organism in Eukaryota, Metazoa, Porifera, Demospongiae, Haplosclerida, Niphatidae. The transcript is spliced from 3 exons. The record is from RefSeq and is a predicted model, not a curated record.